RNAcentral lists this ribosomal RNA (1209 nucleotides) under Enterobacter asburiae. Its description in RNAcentral is "bacterial SSU rRNA". It matches the Rfam family "Bacterial small subunit ribosomal RNA", at positions 33 to 1237 of the family's 1533-position model. The record is from RNAcentral. Lineage: Bacteria; Pseudomonadati; Pseudomonadota; Gammaproteobacteria; Enterobacterales; Enterobacteriaceae.
CCCCUUGGCCGGCGGCCUACCAUGCAGUCGAGCGGCAGCGGAAGUAGCUUGCUACUUUGCCGGCGAGCGGCGGACGGGUGAGUAAUGUCUGGGAAACUGCCUGAUGGAGGGGGAUAACUACUGGAAACGGUAGCUAAUACCGCAUAACGUCGCAAGACCAAAGAGGGGGACCUUCGGGCCUCUUGCCAUCAGAUGUGCCCAGAUGGGAUUAGCUAGUAGGUGGGGUAACGGCUCACCUAGGCGACGAUCCCUAGCUGGUCUGAGAGGAUGACCAGCCACACUGGAACUGAGACACGGUCCAGACUCCUACGGGAGGCAGCAGUGGGGAAUAUUGCACAAUGGGCGCAAGCCUGAUGCAGCCAUGCCGCGUGUAUGAAGAAGGCCUUCGGGUUGUAAAGUACUUUCAGCGGGGAGGAAGGCGUUGAGGUUAAUAACCUCAGCGAUUGACGUUACCCGCAGAAGAAGCACCGGCUAACUCCGUGCCAGCAGCCGCGGUAAUACGGAGGGUGCAAGCGUUAAUCGGAAUUACUGGGCGUAAAGCGCACGCAGGCGGUCUGUCAAGUCGGAUGUGAAAUCCCCGGGCUCAACCUGGGAACUGCAUUCGAAACUGGCAGGCUAGAGUCUUGUAGAGGGGGGUAGAAUUCCAGGUGUAGCGGUGAAAUGCGUAGAGAUCUGGAGGAAUACCGGUGGCGAAGGCGGCCCCCUGGACAAAGACUGACGCUCAGGUGCGAAAGCGUGGGGAGCAAACAGGAUUAGAUACCCUGGUAGUCCACGCCGUAAACGAUGUCGACUUGGAGGUUGUGCCCUUGAGGCGUGGCUUCCGGAGCUAACGCGUUAAGUCGACCGCCUGGGGAGUACGGCCGCAAGGUUAAAACUCAAAUGAAUUGACGGGGGGCCCGCACAAGCGGUGGAGCAUGUGGGUUUAAUUUCGAUGCAACGCGAGAACCCUUACCUACUCUUGACAUCCAGAGAACUUAGCAGAGAUGCUUUGGUGCCUUCGGGAACUCUGAGACAGGUGCUGCAUGGCUGUCGUCAGCUCGUGUUGUGAAAUGUGGGUAAGUCCCGCAACGAAGCGCAAACCUUAUCUUUGUGCCAGGCCGUUCAGGGCGGUACUCAAGGAGACUGCAGGUGAAUAACCUGCAGGACGUGGGGGAUGACGUCAGUCAUCAUGGUCCUACGAUAGGCUACACACGGUCCUACUACAAGUGC